UAUAUACUUCCUCCGUCCAAAAAUACUUGUCGGAGAAAUAGAUGUAUCUAGACGUAUUUUAGUUCUAGAUACACUCAUUUUUACCCAUUUUUUCGACAAGUAUUUCCGGACGGAGGGAGUAUAAG
Non-coding RNA from Triticum aestivum (bread wheat), 125 nucleotides. The record is from Rfam. NCBI's taxonomy places the organism in Eukaryota, Viridiplantae, Streptophyta, Magnoliopsida, Poales, Poaceae.